CUACAUGUUUUUUCUUUUUCUUUCUUCUUAUUGUAUAAAUCAAGGGCAUGUGUGAAUACGGUUGGCCAGAGCAGUUAGUGUGCACUCUGCUACUCACAGAAGGUUACUGGGGUCCAGGAAAUUUGGCAAGAACUUUGAGGACAUUUUAACGUAACAAUUGGUACAGAAAACGAAUGAAUUGAUUAACUGAUGAAACAAGUCAAGACAUGAAAUAUGAGAAAAUAAUUCCCGCCCAGUGUGUUACCAAGGAUAGCUGAAAGCCUUUGAUGUUACUGAGAGUACAUCGUGUGAAUUAUUAAACAGUAGUUCAAAUCUAGAAUGUUUUUAUGUAAUUAUAAGACUUGUUUAUGAGGAAGAUAAGGAAUUUUCAAAUAACAUUUUUAUGUGAAUUUAUCAUUUUUUAAUUUGGAGCUAUUGUCUAAAGAAAUUGCUCACGUGUCAGUAUGG
Molecule: long non-coding RNA, 447 nt
Filed under: Monodelphis domestica (gray short-tailed opossum)
Lineage: Eukaryota; Metazoa; Chordata; Mammalia; Didelphimorphia; Didelphidae
Description: lncRNA (ENSMODG00000035873.2)
Source: RNAcentral